Anguilla rostrata (American eel) is the source of this 1141-nucleotide long non-coding RNA. RefSeq lists it as uncharacterized. Lineage: Eukaryota; Metazoa; Chordata; Actinopteri; Anguilliformes; Anguillidae. The transcript has 2 exons. The record is from RefSeq and is a predicted model, not a curated record.
CCUCUCCUCUCUGACCCGGGAACUUGUCUUUGUUAUUCUCUUUUUUCCAUUUCAUUCGCCGGUUCUGAAACCAAAUUUUUACCUGUCGCUCCGUCAGGCCAAGCGCGUGGGACACCUCGAUCCGUCGUUUGCGUGUAAGGCUAAUUGUAUGGCUGCACACAGAACAAAUGCCACCAAAGUAACUACAUCACGGUCUGAUCCACUGAACAUUUAUACAUGACACCAAUAUUCUGGUAAGAGGGAAGAACAUAUACUGCGACAAGUGAAAUGCAUAUCACAACAAAGUCAAGUCACAAGCGUCAUUUAAAAAAAUAUAUUGGGGGCUGGGGGUAGAUGACAUAAUUCCGAGUUAGAAUUCACUAUCGUACCAUGCAACAACUAUUAAAAACAAGCAAAACGUCGAUUUAAAAAAGCUUCCGCGAAGGGACGCUCCUCGUCGAUGCACCUCAACACUGUCCUCCCUCUCCCCUCUCCCUCGUUCUUUUUCUUUCUCUCUCCCUCCUUCUCUCACACACGCGCACAAACACACACAAAACACAAAUGAACAGGAGAACACAAGAACACAAAAAGAAUUCUAACCGUGAGGUCUCAUCCACGGAAACAUGAGACUGGGAGACGAGUUUUGAUUUAAGUGGCCUUGUCCUUCUCCGAGGUUAGUGCCAGUGGACGAUUUACAGUCUGGGUACUGCGCUAAACUCCCCUCUUGCUGGGUACCAUAAAGAGAUUGCCUCGGAAGGGCUUCGUAUCCAUAAAAUUUCGUGGCGUCUCCAUGGCAAGCCAAGGCGCAGGGGUUUUGCUGGUAUCCGGGAUUGGAGAUUCCAGAUGUCCCGUGGUGGAAAAAGUCCUGAACGUGGUGGGACGGAUGUUGAAAUCCCGGUGCUGCCGCUCCGGGUCCAUACACCAGCGCGUGGCUACGGGUAACGCUCUGAGGAAACCUGCAGUCGUAGUAAGUUGGUUCCAACGUUUCGCCGCCUUUGUACUUGGAAAAUAGGGGAUUAACAAAAUAGGAACUCAUGUUUUGUUUGCAUUAAAACACAGUGUAGUUGUUGAUAUGUGUUUCCUGUUGUAAAUUGUGCUGUUGUCUAAGUUCUCCACCAAAUAUUACACCACCGACACACCAACCGGAACCACAGGGAGAAAA